Molecule: ribosomal RNA, 253 nt
Filed under: uncultured bacterium
Lineage: Bacteria
Description: partial 16S ribosomal RNA
Rfam family: Bacterial small subunit ribosomal RNA
Source: RNAcentral
UACGAAGGGGGCUAGCGUUGCUCGGAAUCACUGGGCGUAAAGCGCACGUAGGCGGAUCUUUAAGUCAGGGGUGAAAUCCCAAGGCUCAACCUUGGAACUGCCCUUGAUACUGGGGAUCUCGAGUCCGGAAGAGGUUGGUGGAACUCCGAGUGUAGAGGUGAAAUUCGUAGAUAUUCGGAAGAACACCUGUGGCGAAGGCGGCCACCUGGGCCGACCCUGACGCUGAGGCGCGAAGGCGUGGGGAGCGAACGGG